This is a microRNA precursor of Gorilla gorilla gorilla (western lowland gorilla), 74 nucleotides long. Lineage: Eukaryota; Metazoa; Chordata; Mammalia; Primates; Hominidae. The record is from Ensembl.
GGGAAAGCGUGGGAUGUCCAUGAAGUCAGGGGAUGGUGAUAAGGUCAAGGCCUGUUCAUUGGAACCCUGCGCAG